This 238-nucleotide unclassified non-coding RNA is filed under the name fungal sp. RNAcentral's name for it is "partial internal transcribed spacer region". The stretch from base 1 to 46 matches the Rfam family "Eukaryotic small subunit ribosomal RNA", at positions 1786 to 1831 of the family's 1831-position model. Lineage: Eukaryota; Fungi. The record is from RNAcentral.
AAGUCGUAACAAGGUUUCCGUAGGUGAACCUUCGGAAGGAUCAUUACACACGUAGGCUUACGCCUUAGUGCCCCCAACCGCUUAGGUAUAGGGGAUUCUUACCACCCUUGUCUUGUGAGCACCUUUGUUUCCUCGGCGGGUUCGCCUGCCAGCGGGACAUCGCAACCCUUUGCAGUAGCUGUUUUUGUCUGAAACAAGCAAACAAUCAAAACUUUCAACAACGGAUCUCUUGGUUCUG